UCGUGCUCGUGCUCGUGCUCAAGCCUAAUACAUGCAAGUCGAGCGGCAGCGGAAAGUAGCUUGCUACUUUUGCCGGCGAGCGGCGGACGGGUGAGUAAUGCCUGGGAAAUUGCCCAGUCGAGGGGGAUAACAGUUGGAAACGACUGCUAAUACCGCAUACGCCCUACGGGGGAAAGCAGGGGACCUUCGGGCCUUGCGCGAUUGGAUAUGCCCAGGUGGGAUUAGCUAGUUGGUGAGGUAAUGGCUCACCAAGGCGACGAUCCCUAGCUGGUCUGGGAGGAUGAUCAGCCACACUGGAACUGAGACACGGUCCAGACUCCUACGGGAGGCAGCAGUGGGGAAUCUUAGACAAUGGGGGCAACCCUGAUCUAGCCAUGCCGCGUGAUCGAUGAAGGCCUUAGGGUUGUAAAGAUCUUUCAGCUGGGAAGAUAAUGACUGUACCAGCAGAAGAAGCCCCGGCUAACUCCGUGCCAGCAGCCGCGGUAAUACGGAGGGGGCUAGCGUUGUUCGGAAUUACUGGGCGUAAAGCGCACGUAGGCGGACCAGAAAGUCAGAGGUGAAAUCCCAGGGCUCAACCUUGGAACUGCCUUUGAAACUCCUGGUCUUGAGUUCGAGAGAGGUGAGUGGAAUUCCGAGUGUAGAGGUGAAAUUCGUAGAUAUUCGGAGGAACACCAGUGGCGAAGGCGGCUCACUGGCUCGAUACUGACGCUGAGGUGCGAAAGCGUGGGGGAGCAAACAGGAUUAGAUACCCUGGUAGUCCACGCCGUAAACGAUGAAUGCCAGACGUCGGGCAGCAUGCUGUUCGGUGUCACACCUAACGGAUUAAGCAUUCCGCCUGGGGAGUACGGCCGCAAGGUUAAACUCAAAGGAAUUGACGGGGGCCCGCACAAGCGUUGGAGCAUGUGGUUUAAUUCGAAGCAACCC
RNAcentral lists this ribosomal RNA (924 nucleotides) under uncultured bacterium. RNAcentral's name for it is "bacterial SSU rRNA". It matches the Rfam family "Bacterial small subunit ribosomal RNA", at positions 25 to 962 of the family's 1533-position model. The record is from RNAcentral.